RNAcentral lists this ribosomal RNA (254 nucleotides) under uncultured bacterium. RNAcentral's name for it is "partial 16S ribosomal RNA". It matches the Rfam family "Bacterial small subunit ribosomal RNA", at positions 1066 to 1320 of the family's 1533-position model. The record is from RNAcentral.
CGUGAGAUGUUGGGUUAAGUCCCGCAACGAGCGCAACCCUCGCCCCGUGUUGCCAGCGGAUUAUGCCGGGAACUCACGGGGGACCGCCGGGGUUAACUCGGAGGAAGGUGGGGAUGACGUCAGAUCAUCAUGCCCCUUACGUCCAGGGCUUCACGCAUGCUACAAUGGCCGGUACAACGGGAUGCGACGCGGCGACGCGGAGCGGAUCCCUGAAACCGGUCUCAGUUCGGAUCGCAGUCUGCAACUCGACUGCG